This 244-nucleotide long non-coding RNA is filed under the name Elaeis guineensis (African oil palm). RNAcentral describes it as "long non-coding RNA (EGUI_LNC013052)". Lineage: Eukaryota; Viridiplantae; Streptophyta; Magnoliopsida; Arecales; Arecaceae. The record is from RNAcentral.
AGCCAACCAUUUGAGUAGUGUGGUCCAACAUGGAGUGACAUGACUUGAUGGGACCAUACAAGAGUUAAUGCUAGCAAUAGUCAAAGGGAAUGUAGCCUAUGGCUCGAAGUGACGAUUGAUAAGAGACCCUUUGGUCGAAGAUGAUGCUGGGGUCAAGAUUUUUCGUGGAUCAGUGUCUAAUGUCUGGAUGUCGUCCUGAUGUUUGUGGCUAAGGAUCCACAAUCGAAGCUAAAAUCGGCAGUCA